RNAcentral lists this ribosomal RNA (896 nucleotides) under Burkholderia sp. BAMKar8. RNAcentral describes it as "bacterial SSU rRNA". It matches the Rfam family "Bacterial small subunit ribosomal RNA", at positions 608 to 1507 of the family's 1533-position model. RNAcentral also lists the same sequence under 1 other name. The record is from RNAcentral. Lineage: Bacteria; Pseudomonadati; Pseudomonadota; Betaproteobacteria; Burkholderiales; Burkholderiaceae.
CUCAACAUGGGAACUGCAUUGGUGACUGGCAGUGCUAGAGUAUGGCAGAGGGGGUGUAGAAUUCCACGUGUAGCAGUGAAAUGCGUAGAGAUGUGGAGGAAUACCGAUGGCGAAGGCAGCCCCUUGGGCCAAUACUGACGCUCAUGCACGAAAGCGUCGGGAGCAAACAGGAUUCGAUAUCGUGGUAGUCCACGCCGUAAACGAUGUCAACUAGUUGUUGGGGGAUUCAUUUCCUUAGUAACGUAGCUAACGCGUGAACUUGACCGCGUGGGGAGUACGGUCGCAAGAUUAAAACUCAAAGGAAUUGGCGCGGACCCGCACAAGCGGUGGAUGAUGUGGAUUAAUUCGAUGCAACGCGAAAAACCUUACCUACCCUUGACAUGGUCGGAAUCCUGCUGAGAGGCGGGAGUGCUGGAAAGAGAACCGGCGCACAGGUGCUGCAUGGCUGUUGUCAGCUCGUGUCGUGAGAUGUUGGGUUAAAUCCCGCAACGACCGCAACCUUUUUCCCUAGUUGCUACGCAAGAGCACUUUAAGGAGACUGCCGGUGACAAACCGGAGGAAGGUGGGGAUGACGUCAAGUCCUCAUGGCCCUUAUGGGUAGGGCUUCACACGUCAUACAAUGGUCGGAACAGAGGGUUGCCACCCCGCGAGGGGGAGCUAAUCCCAGAAAACCGAUCGUAGUCCGGAUUGCACUCUGCAACUCGAGUGCAUGAAGCUGGAAUCGCUAGUAAUCGCGGAUCAGCAUGCCGCGGUGAAUACGUUCCCGGGUCUUGUACACACCGCCCGUCACACCAUGGGAGUGGGUUUUACCAGAAGUGGCUAGUCUAACCGCAAGGAGGACGGUCACCACGGUAGGAUUCAUGACUGGGGUGAAGUCGAACAAGAGCCUCGGCCUA